GGAUUGGAGCAAUGCACUGAGAAAGUUGCCACAUGAACCAGCUCUGGAAAAAAAUCAUGUUGUGUAAUCCCUUCUUUGAUCCUCCUGGGGGCAGCACUCGCCACUGCCUUUGAUGGCUUUGAAAUGCAACAAUGGCAGCUGUGCUAACAGCUACAGGCUAAUAAUCAAGCUUGCUGAGGAGGUGGUCUGCACUCACACACACAUUUACCAUGAGAUGUGUGUGUGUGAGAGGCACAUUUACAUUUGCAACUCAAACUACACGCCACGGGAGUAACGCCGUUGUAACCCAGCCCAGCGCACAGCCUCGAGCCGCAGGGGACGGUUGUUUGACAUGCCAUGUCUGUAUUUUAGGUGUUCCAUUGUUGCACUGAUGGUUUAAGAAUGAAAUGUUUACAAAAUGUUAAAUGCUUAUACUCUGUUUGCACUAUGUUUUGCUCUCAAGUUUGCACUAAAGUCUUACAAAGUCCAAGAUUUUGCACUGCUGCCUGAACUAAAUAAAUUUUAUAAAAGUGACUUGAGAUUCAAGCAAUUGUUUAUUCUUUUUAGUGACCAGAGGCCUGUACUACGAAGCUGGAUUUGGUCUUAGUGAGAUAACUUCUGGAUAACUUCUGGGUUUUCCGUACUGCGAAGGUGGAUCUCUUUUUAUCCGGGUCCGUUGCCCCGGUAACUUACGCGGAACGCCAAACCUGCUCCGGAGCAGGUUAUGUUUCAGGAUAAGAUCUCAGCAGGUAUAAAAGACCGCCCACUGACCAAUCGGAUCUCUUGGAAAAUGGCUUGCCCACUUUUGCUGGAUCCCGGGGACAUCGUUGCAUGGAUAGUGAGAGGAGCGCUUCACCGUGAGCGUUAUAUUCAUGAUCGUUCAAAUUCGUUUGAUUUACCCGAUGACGUUCUCUACGAACGUUACAGGUUUUCCUCGGGCGGCCUCAAUAAAGCAUGAAGUCUAAGCAAUGCACUAAUAUUUGUCAAGCUCCAGGUUCCAAUUUCAUGCAGCAUAUCAGUCAUCAUUCAGAAUUUAUUGAAGCAGAUUAGAAAACUCCUCUUAACCCCAAAUGUGUCUGCAGAUGACAUGACCAUCAGAUGAUGAAGGGAAAAAAAAGGCAGUGUGAGGAAAUCACUGUUUACGUGUUGAAAUAGGUAGUUUACCACCACCAAAAGUAUGACUGUGUGAGCGAAUGAAUGAUGUAUCCAAUGUAACACAGUUGUGUGUAAAUUGUAUGAAAAUAAAACACUUUUGUGUGAAGAAUACAUAACGCAGCUAUGUGUAAAUAGCAUGAAAAUAUGACACAGCUCUGUGUUAUCUUUGUGUAAACCAAACACAGUUGAUGUGUUGACACAUUUAACACACAACAUGUGUAAAAUCUAUCAACACAAAGUCAUGUGUCAAAACAACACAUUGUGUGUUGUCCUUAACUAGACACACGGAUGUGUUAAGAAAUAACACAUGAUGAGUUACUUUUAACACAUUCAUUUUGAGAGUGUACCGCCACAUAGGUAGCGUCACUGAUAAAAGUAAACCGCCGUCUCCAUACAGAACCAUCAUUGUCAACAACACGUUUGGAACCAUCACCUGGUUUGAAAAUUUUUCUUGGGGGUGCCAUUGUGGUGUGUGUGUGUGUGUGUGUGUGUGUGUGUGUGUGUGUGUGUGUGUGUGUGUGUGUGUGUGUUUUGCUAUAUUUGACCUCUUAUUUAUUUAUUUUUUUACCAGAUUGUCAAUGAUCCUGUAUACUAAUGAGACUGAAUGUAGUGUCUGUGCUAUGGUAUGUUCUAAAUUUUGUGUGUUUUUGGCAUGUAAAUCAAGCACCUGGUUUUGUGUUUUCACAAGGUCUGAUAAGAUAUCAACUGAUCCUUGAAACUUUUCAAGUCUGUUGUUUAUACAGUCUGAAAAGUUGUUGACACAGUCCUCAAUACACACAGCUGAGGCCUGUGUGGCCUGCUCACUCCUGCUGGGUCCUGCGGCCAGAGUUAUCCUAUACCACGCAAGGCUGUGAUUUAGACAACUCUAAACAAAGUCGGUUUAAUUCCGACAGGCCCGAUUGGGCUAUGUUACGAUCAACGCCUUCUAAAACACCCUCCCCAUCACUACACAGAAAUGUAGGUAUUGUGUUUAAAUAAUCCCCACCUGCCCCGUUGAUUAAAUUUUGAUUAUCCUGAGGGUUGUCGAUCGUGUUAUUUUCAUGUGCUUGACUGCUAGCCACCGCAGGAAUCCGAUGGAUCACUGUAACCAAAUCGUCUAAAAAGACAAGAAUAUCGAAAUUGCUUUGUGGUAGCACAAGUGACAAAUUAUCCUCCUCAACUAGCCUUCGAAUAAGGAUAAGCCAAAUUGGUUGUUUUGUUUACACGAAUAUUGACACACACAAUUGUACACAUUAUGCAUACCUUUUACAUGGCUGCGGUGUCUUUCCUUUUGAUUUGCGCUUUUAAUAAUAAUAAUAAUAAUAAUAAUACAUUUUAUUUGUAAAGCGCUUUUCAAAGACUCAAAGCUGUACAGAGUAAGCAGUAAAAACACACAUCAAUAAGUAAGAAAAUUUACAGCAAUAUAAUAAAAACAUGUAAUCAGGUAAAAUCUAAUGGGGGGGGGGGGUUAGGAGGGAUGAAAGGCAGUGCGGAAGAGGUGGGUUUUGAGAAGGGUUUUGAAUCUGGUGAGGUCAGUGCAGUUUUUGAGUUCAAGUGGGAGUGAGUUCCAGAGGGUGGGGGCGGCGACUGAGAGGGCUCUGUCCCCCCAGGUUCGGUGCUUGGUCAGGGGAACUGUGAGGAGGUUGGCAUUGGCGGAGCGGAGGGUGCGGGAGGGGAUGUAGGGGUGGAGAAGAUCCUGUAGGUAGGGGGUGAGUUGGGUGAAGGAGAGGUUGCUGUCGAAGAGAAUGCCAAGGUUGCGACAGUGGGAGGAGGGGGAGAGGAUGGAGUUGUUGAUGGAGAGAUGAAAGUUUGUGACUGUGAGGGUGAGGGAGUUUGGGCCAAUGAUGAUGAGAUCUGUUUUUUUCAUAAUUGAGUUUAAGAAGAUUGCUGUCCAUCCAGUGUUUGAUGUCAGAGAGGCAGUUUGAGAGGGAGCGUUGGGUCUGGGGGGUGAUGGAGUUGGAAGAGAUAUAUAAUUGAAUGUCAUCAGCAUAGCAGUGGAAGUGGAGGUUGUGUUGAUGGAGGAUGUGGCCAAGAGGGAGGAGGUAGAUGAUGAAGAGGAGGGGACCAAGCACCGAACCCUGGGGGACACCUUGGGACACGGGGGCGGUUGUGGAGGAGCAGUUGUUAAUAUGGAUGAAGUGAUUCCGGUCUGUGAGGUAAGAGUGGAUCCAGUUAAGAGCGGUGUCUGUGAUAUUGAGGAGGGAGUGUAGGCGGGACAGAAGGAUAGCAUGGUCGAUGGUGUCGAAAGCAGCGGAGAGGUCGAGGAGGAUGAGGAUGGAGAGUUGGCCAGAGUCAGCAGAGAUGAGGAGGUCAUUUGUCACUUUUAUGAGGGCAGUUUCGGUGCUGUGGUGGGUGCGGAAUCCUGAUUGGAACUGUUCAUAUAGGUUGUUAUUGUUGAGGUGGGUUUUGAUUUGUGAUGCGAUGACACGUUCGAGGAUUUUUGACAGGAAAGGGAGGUUUGAGAUGGGCCGGAAGUUACUAAUGUCAUCGGGGUUGAGUCCAGGUUUUUUGAGGAUGGGGGUGACAGCAGCCAGUUUAAGUGACGGGGGAACAGUGGCGGAGUUGAGGGAGGAGUUGAUGAUCUGUGUUAUGACUGGGGAGAUGACGGGGAGGCAGUGCUUGAUGAGGGAGGAUGGGAUGGGAUCGAGGAUACAGGUGGAUGAAGACAUGGAGCAGAUGAUAUUAGUCACGUCGGUUGAGGAGACAGGUGAGAAGCAGGAGAGUGCUGAUGGGAUGAGGGGAGGAGGGGAGGAGCAGGGAAUGGAGGGUGGGGGAAGGGAGUUAUAGAUUGCAUUGAUUUUGGUUUGAAAAGAGGAGAGGAAUGUGUUGCAUUUUUCCGGGGUGAAGGUGAUGGAGGUACUGUCUAUGGGGUGGAGCAGUUUUUUGACGGUGGAGAAAAGAGCCUUUUGGUUGCUGGAGCCGGAGUUGAUGAGGUUGGAGUAAUAGGAUGAGCGGGCGGAUUUGAGGGCUGUUCUGUAUAGGUGGAGGUGGUCGGUGUAGGCUUGGAGAUGGACAGUGAGACCGGUUUUGCGAUAUAGACGUUCCAGUUGGCGUUUAUGGGAUUUCAUUUUGUGUAGUUCUGAAGUAUACCAGGGGGCAGAGUGUCUGAAUGAAACUGUUUUUGUUUUGAGAGGUGCGAGCUGGUCCAGGCAGGAGGAUAGAGUGUUGUUGUAGUAGUUGAUUAGGUCAGGAAGUUUAGCAGAUGGUGAGGGAGGGGAUGCAGUGAGGGUGGCAGAUAGGGAAGCGGAGAGGUCCUGUGGUGAGAUGAAUUUGAGGUUUCUGAAGGUAAUUUGUCGUUUUUCACUGUGGGGCAGAGGGGGAGGUCGACGUUGAAAGUGACAGCCAGGUGAUCUGAUAUAUAGAGGUUGGUGGUGGAGAGAUGGUGGAUGGAAGAUGCCGGUGGAGCAGACGAGGUCGAGGGUGUGGCCAUGGGAGUGGGUGGGGGAGUGCACGUGCUGGGUGAGAUUGAGGGUGUCGAGGAGAUCCAGGAAAUCAGAAGCUUGUUUGCAGGUGGGGUUGUCAAUGUGAAAGUUGAAGUCUCCAAGCAGCAGGACAGAGGAUGAGAUGGUGUUUAGGUGGGUGACAAAUUCAGAGAAAUCCGAGAGGAAUGAUGGGUGGGGCUUUGGGGGACGGUAGAUAGUAACAAUGACCAGAGGGGUGGGGCCAGGGAGUUUGACAGAGAUAUUUUCAAAUGAGUGGAGGGACAGGGUGGGGGCGGGGGUGGUCUUGAGGGUUUGUUUGUAAAUCACUGCGACGCCUCCGCCUCGUCCAGUGAGGCGGGGUUGGUGCAGAUAGGAGUAACCGGGGGGGGUGGCUUGGUUGAGUGGAAAGAGGUCGAGAUGGUUGUGCCAGGUUUCAGUUAGAUAGAGGAAGUCCAGGUUAUUGUCUGUUAUGAAGUCAGCUAGGAUGUGUCCUUUGUUAUUGAGGGAGCGGGUGUUUUGAAGGGCCAUCUUCAGGGGAGGGGGCUGUGGGGUGGGCAGUGAGGCAGGGGGAAGGUAGCGGAGAUUUGAUAGAUUUCUUGUCCUUCUUUUUGGAUGCAUGGGGUUUGAACGGGAGGUUCCAGUAGUUGUAAUUGUUUUAAUUGUUUGCAAUGGUUUGCAAGGAGAGUCUAUGGUUGAAGGGUGUAGUAGCUGUUUGGACCAGGAGGGGGAGCUUGAUGUGGUGGGGGCAAUGGGGAUGGUGCGCAGUACCAGUUGGAGCCUGCUGGGGGAGCCGGUGGUGAGGGUGGUGAGGGCGAGGGUUCCGGAGGGGGGCCUCAGGGGGGCGCUGUUUCCAGGUGGGGUAGUGGGAGAGGAUGACAGGGAGUAUGUAAACAAUGAUAGUCAGUUGGUGUGUAUGUGGUGUUGGAUAUUAGCGGCAAGUGUCUGAUGGCCCAGUUUGUUUGGGUGAAGUCCGUCAUUAGAAAAGAAUGGGGGUCGGUUCCAGAACAGGUUAAAAUUGUCUAUGAAGUGGGUGGAGAGGGUGCUGCAGAGGGCUCGAAGCCAGGAGUUUAGGCUGAGGAGGCGGCUAAAACGAUCGAUGCUGCGUGUUAGUGUUGGAAGAGGGCCACUUAUAAAAACAGUUUUGCCACUGCGCUCAAGGCUAUCUAAAAGAGUCAUGAAGUCUUUUUUUGUCUGUUCAGACUGGUGGUGAGCAGUGUCAUUUGUGCCAACGUGGACAAUGAUGCGGUGAAUAGAGGCAGGAAGUGAUUGGAGAAGACCGGGGAGUUUAGCUGUGAUGUCGGCGACAGUAGCACCGGGGAAAGAGCGAGUGAUGGCAUUAAAAUAACGAAUACCUCGUAUGAUGCUGUCACCGAUGAUCAAGGUGGUGGGGGGAAACUGCGGCGGGGGGUGCAUUGCUCCUGUGUCCGAAGCAGGGCUGGUGGUCGGGGUACGGGGACUCAGCGGUGCGGUGGAUACGGUGGAUGCCAGCGGCUGCGGGGAUGGUCUGCCACUUCGGUCCAGGGCAGCUGAAACGGGCCCGGCGGAGUUCCGUCGGACUGCGUCCCGGAGAAACCUCCUGCGGGCGGCCGAGGACGCGGGCCGGCUCUCCGAGCGGUGGUCAAGGCGGGUUCCGGGACACCGCGCGCGACCAGGGACCGACGGAGAAGGGUCCCCUCCGCCAGUGCCAGGCCACACGGGAAUCCCACUGUGUGCCGGCAGGGAGGUGUUCUUAGCGCCAGCGCCCGGUGACGCCCGGGAGCUGGUUGCCAGAAGAGCGGAGGCUACCCGGUCCUCGAGCCGGCACGCCGCGAGGGCACCGGAGGGCCCGGCCGGGUUCCAGGGGGUGGUGUUAGUGAUUUUCCUGCCGCGUGUGGUUAUUUCAGUCCAUGUUGAGUCGUGGUUGGAUGCAGCGGUGGAUGGCGGUUUGGACGUGGUGGACGGGCUUUGAGGCUCCCAGGGUAGCGUGUCCUGGAGGGUUGAUUGGAGCGAGAAUAGGUGGAGGGAUUGCUGGUGGGCCACAUCAAUGCAGGUUGUGAGGAGAGUGGAUUUUGACUUAAGCUCAUCGGAGAGUUUUUGAAUACGGAGUUUAAGUUUGGUGAUUGUUUUGUUUGCUUCGUGAAGCGCUUCAGUCUUUUCCAUGAGUAGGGACUCGCUCGCUCUCUCGCUCAUGCUCGCUCUCUCGCUCAUGCUCGCUCUCUUUUACUGCUGCUUGCUCACCCGUGCCACUUGAGAUUAAAAAAUAGAAAACACAGAAAUGGUAUUUAACAAUUUUGCACGUUUCGCACCCCUCGAAGUGUACAUGAAUAACUUGAGACUAAUCUUAAAAAUCCUCAUCCUCAUCGUCCACAGUGAUCGGGUAUGCCCAUGCCCGGAAAUUGGCACCCGUGGGGUACCUAAAAUAAGUAGGUUGUUAAUUAGGUGAUUACUGUCUAACAACAGUUAGACAGUAAUAGACAGACCUGCAUAUCUUUUAAUAGACAGUUUGCUUUUCGAUUUGUACUUUUUACUCAGCUUAUUCACCGAUGACCUGUCACCUCUGGCCUUAAAAAUAGAUAAAGACAUGAUACAUUGUUUUGUUCUUUGCAUAAAAAAUGUUGGUGUUAAAGAUUUCGUUUUAAAUAUAAAACAGUAGUACUAGCUCACAUGCAUUUAAAAGUACUGUGGGGAAUGUUUUCAGAGCCUGCGCUCAACCUGUUGGAGCCUAGUUGAUGAAUGCUAAGAAAAUAUAAGGUGACAUUUUUAUAAGGUGACAAGAUACGACUGAAAAAUUUUUGUAUGAUAAAGAUGCUGUAGAUGCUGUACAUACUCGUUACAAGAUCCAUGGCAGAACAGGAAUUUUUGAUUUUGCGGGAUAAAAAAAAACAAAAACUCGACCAAAUUAUGCUGAUUUAUACACACUUACCCAGGUUUGACACGUUCCCUUAGACGGUACCAUGCACACCCAUUUUUAACACAUUCACAUAUUUUUAAACCCGAUCAAACAAACACAUGAAAAGAUCAAAAACACGUAUUUUUCACACACAUCUGUUGCUAAAAACACCAAAUCUGAUCAGCAUAUGCAAAGACCAUAUGUUUGAUACCAAGCACUUACUAAAAAAUGACUUCUACUUUGAUUUUUUUCAACAUUUGCUAUGCAUUUUGCCUCUUCUGGUGAAGUGCGUUGAUUUUCACCAAGGUUUUAAACCGAAAAUAAUUUCUGCCUUCGCCUUACACUGGCAAACUAGAUUUAUAUCAUAACCAGCAAUUAUGCCUCAUAUACGCUCAGUGCUGGCAAUCAGUCUGUGGAGGGAGUUGUGGCAUUAACAUUAUCAUGACUUGCAUGUCAGACCAAAUGUUUUGAGAGGGAAUUGGUGUCACCCUCACUAGAGACCUAACAGCAGGAGAUCGUGUGUAACUUGUUGGAGUUGAGACUGUAGCACUCAGACUUAAAUGAGCUUUAAUGAAAGGAUUUCACAAGAAACCUAAUAUUUCCUAAACAAUGCUGUGUGUAGAGGCCAUGUCACUCUAUAACUGUGUGUGUCUGUGACGGCAGUGACCCUCCCCCAAGAUGUAACAUCAGUUUCCCCAUCCCCCAGGAUGUGACAUCAUCAUGUCAUCAUCAUUAUCAUCCAGGCACCUGCUUAUGACCUAGAUACACUGAAUAUGGUUGUGCUUAGAUGCAAACACAUAACCAGAGAACUGGGGCAACAUCAUGUAGUUGUCACAGUAGAUGAGGCAUUGUACUGUAGGUUGAUGGAGCUGAAGUGGGCAAAUGCCGACUACAGGGAUUGUCUCAUCGUCAGAUUGGGUGGCCUUCACACUGCAUUAAAAUUUAUGGCAGUCAUUGACAAGCACAUCCAAUCAUCUGGACUGUUAGAAGCAUGGGUAGAGAGCAAUGUACUUGAAUUCAACACUGCUGAACAAUUCAUGACAGUGAAGUCCUAUAACAAGGGAAUCAGAACCUACAAAAUCACUCUCCAUCCAUGUGGUGGAUGCUUAUUCCUGAGCUGCUUAGCUUCAUGGGAGACAGCAAUUUAGACCUCAAAGAGCAAUUGGAGAGGGCCAAGACAACUGCAGAAGAUCUUGUAAUGUUACUUGCUUCCAAAGAGUUUGAAGCUGCCACAGAAGCCUACUUUUCAGCAAAUGACAACCCAAACUUCAAAUUUUGGUGGGGCUACAUGCAGAUGGUCCACAUCCUUUUGUUGUUUAUUCAUACUCAGAGAGAUGGGACCUGGGACCUACACCUUUAUGCAUUCCAGCGAAUGUUGGCUUGCAUUAUGUGGUACAAUCAUACCAAAUACACUCCCUGGGGGACGAUUUACCUGAAAGAGAUGCACCAACUUCCACAGCAAGUCAAGAGAGAGUUUGAUGCAGGAAACUUUGUGGUCAAAUGCUCAUCACAGCGCUUCAACCAAUAGCUGGGCAGAUAACUGUAAUAAUCGUUCACUUGCGGAUAAAAGCACCAAUAUUGUCACACAUACUCCUUAGGAGUUGCUCUUUUGAUAUUUCCAUCUGGCCAAAUGAAAAUUCAAGAUGGCGGCCAUUUUUCAAGAUGGCCACCAUUGAAAAUACAGUAAUAUUGCAUUUUGCAAUAAAAUCCCAUAGACUUGUCCUAUUUGGAUGAACUUGGUGUCAAAUCAUACAUUUUCCACUAUGCAGAAUCCAAAUUUGGACCCAUGGACUUACUUACUGGCUUCCUUGUACCAUAUUUCAGUCCCGGAAUCCUAAUAUUCUGGUAUUUAUGAGGUUUAGAUUAGAUUCUUUGCUCACUGUUUUGCAGAUAUUUGGUCUCUUUUCCACUAACCUGCCCCAGACGCUGCAAAACAUUGCAAACCAUGAUUUGGCUACACAGGAUAUUGAAGAUGACCUGUUGAAUGUUCCACAGAAAGGGCAAGAUCAGUUGGAUGCUUUUGUCAGGGAAAGGCUGAUGCUAUCUAAAGAGAGAAGUGUGAGCUUCAGGGACAAACUGACACAGGACAAGUGUUUGACUUUUUCCUCACUGUUUGAAGUGAAACAGUCAGAUACCAAAACUGGGAAGGCAAAAACUUUCAAGGCACACAGGAACAUCCUAGAGCAGGGGUUCUCAAUGUAAAACGUCCAGAAAAUAAAUUUUGAGGGAGUCAUAGGUCCACAGCGCGUGUGUGGCGGCGAAAAUUCUUCUUUUUUUUCCUUUUUUUUGAAUGUUUUUAUGUAGUUUUAGGCUGGGUGUACUGUACUGUAAUAAUCAGGAGUUAUUGGAAGGCGAAUGAACUCAGUUAAUUUCAAGGGUAGCUGACUGAGAUACACACCAUGUGACUCUGCAUGUGCUGUGCAGCGAUCCACCAAUCACCUUUGUCCUUUACUCAGUUGCCAAUCAGACUCAGUUCUCAGUUGCCAAUCAGACUACCCUGCCAGCUGUCAAUCAAAAUCAGAGAGGAGAAAACCCACCCCUGCACAUGUUCUGUACAUGGAGUGAGACGCGUGUCCGCUGAGAAUUACUUUCGGAACUUUACUGACUGUUAAGCCCAACAAAUAAGAACUGUAUGGGUUUUAAAAUGUAUAUUUCCGUGGACCACUCUACUAUAAGCGGUGCGCGUUUUGCGAGGUGCAUGCUAUUCUCGGAGGACAUGCGUUUCUCGGCACAACACUGCUAACAACAACAACAACAACGAUUGCAAAAUUAGCAACAAACAAGAGAAAACCACCGAAA
This 10203-nucleotide long non-coding RNA is filed under the name Xyrichtys novacula (pearly razorfish). Lineage: Eukaryota; Metazoa; Chordata; Actinopteri; Labriformes; Labridae. The record is from RNAcentral.